AACGAACGCUGGCGGCAGGCCUAACACAUGCAAGUCGAGCGGGACCUUCGGGUCUAGCGGCGGACGGGUUAGUAACACGUGGGAACGUACCUCUCUCUACGGAAUAGCCUCGGGAAACUGAGCGUAAUACCGUAUACGCCCUUUGGGGGAAAGAUUUAUCGGAGAGAGAUCGGCCCGCGUCUGAUUAGAUAGUUGGUGGGGUAAUGGCCUACCAAGUCUACGAUCAGUAGCUGGUUUGAGAGGAUGAUCAGUAACACUGGGACUGAGACACGGCCCAGACUCCUACGGGAGGCAGCAGUGGGGAAUCUUAGACAAUGGGCGCAAGCCUGAUCUAGCCAUGCCGCGUGAGUGAUGAAGGCCUUAGGGUCGUAAAGCUCUUUCGCUGGGGAAGAUAAUGACUGUACCCAGUAAAGAAACCCCGGCUAACUCCGUGCCAGCCGCCGCCGUAA
RNAcentral lists this ribosomal RNA (449 nucleotides) under uncultured bacterium. Its description in RNAcentral is "partial 16S ribosomal RNA". It matches the Rfam family "Bacterial small subunit ribosomal RNA", at positions 29 to 523 of the family's 1533-position model. The record is from RNAcentral.